This 253-nucleotide ribosomal RNA is filed under the name uncultured bacterium. RNAcentral's name for it is "partial 16S ribosomal RNA". It matches the Rfam family "Bacterial small subunit ribosomal RNA", at positions 524 to 776 of the family's 1533-position model. The record is from RNAcentral.
GACGGGGGGGGCAAGUGUUCUUCGGAAUUACUGGGCGUAAAGUGUGCGCAGGCGGCCGCGCAAGUCGAGUGUGAAAGCCCCGAGCUUAACUUGGGAAUUGCGCUCGAAACUACGUGGCUGGAGUGUGGCAGAGGAAGGUGGAAUUCCACGUGUAGCGGUGAAAUGCGUAGAGAUGUGGAGGAACACCAAUGGCGAAGGCAGCCUUCUGGGCCAACACUGACGCUCAUGCACGAAAGCGUGGGGAGCAAACAGG